AUUGAACGCUGGCGGCAUGCUUUACACAUGCAAGUCGAACGGCAGCGCGGGCUUCGGCCUGGCGGCGAGUGGCGAACGGGUGAGUAAUGCAUCGGAACGUGCCCAGUAGUGGGGGAUAGCCCGGCGAAAGCCGGAUUAAUACCGCAUACGACCUGAGGGUGAAAGCGGGGGACCGAAAGGCCUCGCGCUAUUGGAGCGGCCGAUGUCGGAUUAGCUAGUUGGUGGGGUAAAGGCUUACCAAGGCGACGAUCCGUAGCUGGUCUGAGAGGACGACCAGCCACACUGGGACUGAGACACGGCCCAGACUCCUACGGGAGGCAGCAGUGGGGAAUUUUGGACAAUGGGGGCAACCCUGAUCCAGCCAUGCCGCGUGCGGGAAGAAGGCCUUCGGGUUGUAAACCGCUUUUGUUCGGGAAGAAAUCCUCUGGGCUAAUACCCCGGGGGGAUGGCGGUACCGGAAGAAUAAGCACCGGCUAACUACGUG
This 484-nucleotide ribosomal RNA is filed under the name uncultured bacterium. RNAcentral describes it as "partial 16S ribosomal RNA". It matches the Rfam family "Bacterial small subunit ribosomal RNA", at positions 28 to 507 of the family's 1533-position model. The record is from RNAcentral.